Molecule: ribosomal RNA, 468 nt
Filed under: uncultured bacterium
Lineage: Bacteria
Description: partial 16S ribosomal RNA
Rfam family: Bacterial small subunit ribosomal RNA
Source: RNAcentral
GACGAACGCUGGCGGCGUGCUUAACACAUGCAAGUCGAACGGAAAGGCCCUGCUUUUGUGGGGUGCUCGAGUGGCGAACGGGUGAGUAACACGUGAGUAACCUGCCCUUGACUUUGGGAUAACUUCAGGAAACUGGGGCUAAUACCGGAUAGGAGCUCCUGCUGCAUGGUGGGGGUUGGAAAGUUUCGGCGGUUGGGGAUGGACUCGCGGCUUAUCAGCUUGUUGGUGGGGUAGUGGCUUACCAAGGCUUUGACGGGUAGCCGGCCUGAGAGGGUGACCGGCCACGUGGGGACUGAGAUACGGCCCAGACCCCUAGGGGGGACAGCGGGGGGGAUUUUUGCAAAAUGGGGGGAGCCCGAAUGCAGCAGCCCCGCGGGGGGGAUGGCGGCUUUGGGUUUGAAACCCUCUUCCGCCGGGAACGAACGGGGAGUGAGGGUAGGGGAUAAAGAAGCCCCGGCUAACUACGUC